AUUUUCCCGGGUGUUUCUUAUUACAAUGAAAACUACUUGAAAGUAAAGUGACCUCAUCAAUACACCAACUAGAUUCAAAAUGCUACAAAAAAACUAUCUUGUCACUUUAUUAUUAGAACUUGAGAUUUCAAGUAGAAAAGUUUAAAAGUUUAAAAAUUUGCGCACAUCAUAGUAGAACUGCACAUUAGUAGACAUUACUAU
Molecule: non-coding RNA, 201 nt
Organism: Cinara cedri
Lineage: Eukaryota; Metazoa; Arthropoda; Insecta; Hemiptera; Aphididae
Source: the annotation of a GenBank genome assembly